AGGACUACUGGGGUAUCUAAUCCUGUUUGCUACCCACGCUUUCGUGCAUGAGCGUCAGUGUCGACCCAGGGGGCUGCCUUCGCCAUCGGUGUUCCUCCACAUCUCUACGCAUUUCACUGCUACACGUGGAAUUCCACCCCCCUCUGCCGCACUCAAGUCUUGCAGUCACAAACGCAGUUCCCAGGUUAAGCCCGGGGAUUUCACAUCUGUAUUACAAAACCGCCUGCGCACGCUUUACGCCCAGUAAUUCCGAUUAACGCUCGCACCCUACGUAUUACCGCGGCUGCUGACAC
RNAcentral lists this unclassified non-coding RNA (293 nucleotides) under uncultured Gammaproteobacteria bacterium. RNAcentral's name for it is "contains 16S-23S intergenic spacer region". The record is from RNAcentral. Lineage: Bacteria; Pseudomonadati; Pseudomonadota; Gammaproteobacteria.